Molecule: ribosomal RNA, 210 nt
Filed under: Russula sp. 3 GL-2015
Lineage: Eukaryota; Fungi; Basidiomycota; Agaricomycetes; Russulales; Russulaceae
Description: 5.8S ribosomal RNA
Rfam family: 5.8S ribosomal RNA (bases 1-77)
Source: RNAcentral
AAUUCAGUGAAUCAUCGAAUCUUUGAACGCACCUUGCGCCCCUUGGCAUUCCGAGGGGCACACCCGUUUGAGUGUCGUGAAAUUCUCAAAACCCUCUUUUCUAGAGGAUUUUGGACUUGGAGGUUUAGUGCUUGCCUUUGGCUCUCAAAGGCGAGCUCCUCUCAAAUGAAUCAGUGGGGUCUGCUUUGCUGGUCCUUGACGUGAUAAGAU